RNAcentral lists this ribosomal RNA (372 nucleotides) under uncultured bacterium. Its description in RNAcentral is "bacterial SSU rRNA". It matches the Rfam family "Bacterial small subunit ribosomal RNA", at positions 523 to 898 of the family's 1533-position model. The record is from RNAcentral.
AUACGUAGGGGGCGAGCGUUGUCCGGAAUUAUCGGGCGUAAAGGGUUCGCAGGCGGCCUUUUAAGUCAGAUGUGAAAUCCCACGGCUUAACCGUGGUAAGCAUUUGAAACUGGAAGGCUUGAGUUAAGGAGAGGAAAGUGGAAUUCCUAGUGUAGCGGUGAAAUGCGUAGAUAUUAGGAGGAAUACCAGUGGCGAAGGCGACUUUCUGGACUUAUACUGACGCUGAGGAACGAAAGCGUGGGGAGCAAACAGGAUUAGAUACCCUGGUAGUCCACGCCGUAAACGAUGAGUGCUAGGUGUUGGGGGUCAAACCUCGGUGCCGCAGCUAACGCAUUAAGCACUCCGCCUGGGGAGUACGUACGCAAGUAUGAA